AAAUUGAAGAGUUUGAUCAUGGCUCAGAUUGAACGCUGGCGGCAGGCCUAACACAUGCAAGUCGAACGGUAACAGGAAACAGCUUGCUGUUUCGCUGACGAGUGGCGGACGGGUGAGUAAUGUCUGGGAAACUGCCUGAUGGAGGGGGAUAACUACUGGAAACGGUAGCUAAUACCGCAUAAUGUCGCAAGACUAAAGAGGGGGACCUUCGGGCCUCUUGCCAUCGGAUGUGCCCAGAUGGGAUUAGCUAGUAGGUGGGGUAACGGCUCACCUAGGCGACGAUCCCUAGCUGGUCUGAGAGGAUGACCAGCCACACUGGAACUGAGACACGGUCCAGACUCCUACGGGAGGCAGCAGUGGGGAAUAUUGCACAAUGGGCGCAAGCCUGAUGCAGCCAUGCCGCGUGUAUGAAGAAGGCCUUCGGGUUGUAAAGUACUUUCAGCGGGGAGGAAGGGAGUAAAGUUAAUACCUUUACUCAUUGACGUUACCCGCAGAAGAAGCACCGGCUAAC
Molecule: ribosomal RNA, 511 nt
Filed under: Shigella sonnei
Lineage: Bacteria; Pseudomonadati; Pseudomonadota; Gammaproteobacteria; Enterobacterales; Enterobacteriaceae
Description: bacterial SSU rRNA
Rfam family: Bacterial small subunit ribosomal RNA
Source: RNAcentral